UGGGGACUAUUGCACAAUGGGCGCAAGCCUGAUGCAGCCAUGCCGCGUGUAUGAAGAAGGCCUUCGGGUUGUAAAGUACUUUCAGCGGGGAGGAAGGUGUUGAGGUUAAUAACCUCAGCAAUUGACGUUACCCGCAGAAGAAGCACCGGCUAACUCCGUGCAAGCAGCCGCGGAAAUACGGAGGGUGCAAGCGCUAAUCGGAAUUACUGGGCGUAAAGCGCACGCAGGCGGUCUGUCAAGUCGGAUGUGAAAUCCCCGGGCUCAACCUGGGAACUGCAUUCGAAACUGGCAGGCUAGAGUCUUGUAGAGGGGGGUAGAAUUCCAGGUGUAGCGGUGAAAUGCGUAGAGAUCUGGAGGAAUACCGGUGGCGAAGGCGGCCCCCUGGACAAAGACUGACGCUCAGGUGCGAAAGCGUGGGGAGCAAACA
This 427-nucleotide ribosomal RNA is filed under the name uncultured bacterium. RNAcentral's name for it is "partial 16S ribosomal RNA". It matches the Rfam family "Bacterial small subunit ribosomal RNA", at positions 355 to 774 of the family's 1533-position model. The record is from RNAcentral.